GGCCGGGCUUGGGGAAGGGCGGGGCCUGGGGCGGGGCCUCGCCAGCCCGCGGCCCGUCGCCUUGACGACCGCAACAAGAUGGCGACGCCUCCGGACGCGCAGCCGCUGCCCGACCCCUCGGUGCUUAGCCCCGCUAAGCUGGAGCAGUUGAGAAAAUUCAAGAUCCAGAUUCGGAUUGCUAAUGAGAAGUAUCUAAGGACCCACAAAGAAGUAGAGUGGCUCAUAAGUGGUUUCUUCAGAGAAAUCUUUUUGAAAAGACCAGACAACAUCCUACAGUUUGCUGCAGACUACUUCACGGAUCCAAGACUUCCCAACAAGAUUCACAUGCAGCUAAUUAAAGACAAGAGUGUGGCUUAAUUAGCAAAACCAUGAUGCUCAGCUGUUGGGAGAGACCAGACAGAAUCCAGCCUCGGGGGAAGUGAGAGCGUCUCCUCAGCUGCAGCCGACUCACUGGCCAGAGCCGUGGGCGUGCCCCCUCCUGAAGGGAGGCUGGGAAAUGGAGUAUUUCGGCAGCCUACAGCGCCCUAGAUAGCUUCUUGUCACUGCCACCGAGAGUCCUUUCCUACACUUUGGGAGGCCGACGUGGGCGGAUCAUGAGGUCAGGAGAUCCAGACCAUCCUGGCCAAGAUGGUGAAACCCUGUCUCUACUAAAAAUAUAAAACUUAGACGAGUGUGGCAGCACAUGCCUGUAAUCCCAGCUACUUGGGAGGCUGAGGCAGGAGAAUCGCUUGAACCUGGGAGGCGGAGGUUGCAGUGAGCUGAGAUCGUGCCACUGCACUCCAGCCUGGCAACAGAGCAAGACUUGUCUCAAAAUUAUACAUAAAUAAAAUAUUUAUAUAUUUA
Callithrix jacchus (white-tufted-ear marmoset) is the source of this 843-nucleotide RNA transcript. It is a transcript of the gene named regulatory subunit of type II PKA R-subunit domain containing 1, with no coding region annotated. NCBI's taxonomy places the organism in Eukaryota, Metazoa, Chordata, Mammalia, Primates, Cebidae. The record is from RefSeq and is a predicted model, not a curated record.